GAUGAACGCUGGCUACAGGCUUAACACAUGCAAGUCGAGGGGAAACGACGGGGAAGCUUGCUUCCCCGGGCGUCGACCGGCGCACGGGUGAGUAACGCGUAUCCAACCUGCCUCUGACUGAGGGAUAACCCGUCGAAAGUCGGCCUAAUACCUCAUGGCAUCGUCUGCGGGCAUCCAACGACGAUUAAAGAUUUCAUCGGUCAGAGAUGGGGAUGCGUCUGAUUAGCUUGUUGGCGGGGUAACGGCCCACCAAGGCGACGAUCAGUAGGGGUUCUGAGAGGAAGGUCCCCCAAAUUGGAACUGAGAAACGGUCCAAACUCCUACGGGAGGCAGCAGUGAGGAAUAUUGGUCAAUGGGCGAGAGCCUGAACCAGCCAAGUAGCGUGCAGGAUGACGGCCCUAUGGGUUGUAAACUGCUUUUAUGCGGGGAUAAAGUGAGGGACGUGUCCUUCAUUGCAGGUACCGCAUGAAUAAGGACCGGCUAAUUCCGUG
RNAcentral lists this ribosomal RNA (491 nucleotides) under uncultured bacterium. RNAcentral's name for it is "partial 16S ribosomal RNA". It matches the Rfam family "Bacterial small subunit ribosomal RNA", at positions 28 to 507 of the family's 1533-position model. The record is from RNAcentral.